Molecule: transfer RNA, 75 nt
Filed under: Candidatus Fermentibacterota bacterium
Lineage: Bacteria; Pseudomonadati; Candidatus Fermentibacterota
Description: tRNA-Gln
Rfam family: tRNA
About the family: Transfer RNA (tRNA) molecules are approximately 80 nucleotides in length. Their secondary structure includes four short double-helical elements and three loops (D, anti-codon, and T loops). Further hydrogen bonds mediate the characteristic L-shaped molecular structure. tRNAs have two regions of fundamental functional importance: the anti-codon, which is responsible for specific mRNA codon recognition, and the 3' end, to which the tRNAs corresponding amino acid is attached (by aminoacyl-tRNA synthetases). tRNAs cope with the degeneracy of the genetic code in two manners: having more than one tRNA (with a specific anti-codon) for a particular amino acid; and 'wobble' base-pairing, i.e. permitting non-standard base-pairing at the 3rd anti-codon position.
Source: RNAcentral
UGGGGCGUAGUCAAACUGGUAAGACACAGGAUUUUGGUUCCUGUAUUGGAGGUUCGAGUCCUCCCGCCCCAGCCA